This 254-nucleotide ribosomal RNA is filed under the name uncultured bacterium. RNAcentral describes it as "partial 16S ribosomal RNA". It matches the Rfam family "Bacterial small subunit ribosomal RNA", at positions 524 to 776 of the family's 1533-position model. The record is from RNAcentral.
UACAGAGGGUGCGAGCGUUGUCCGGAAUCACUGGGCGUAAAGGGCGCGUAGGUGGCGACCCAAGUCGAUGGUGAAAGCUCGCCGCUCAACGGCGAGUCGGCCACCGAUACUGGGUUGCUGGAGCACUGUAGAGGCAGAUGGAAUUCCGGGUGUAGCGGUGGAAUGCGUAGAGAGUCCGGAAGAACACCGGUGGCGAAGGCGGUCUGCUGGGCAGUUGCUGACACUGAGGCGCGACAGCGUGGGGAGCAAACAGG